UUAAGUUCAGCGGGUAGUCCUACCUGAUCUGAGGUCAAACGACAUAAAGUAUUGUCCGCAAGGACGGUUAGAAGCAAUCUCGACUUGAUUAUAACAAUGCUCUUUUUUUAUCACAUUGUGUGUGAUCGAAGGCAGAUCGCUAAUGCAUUUAGGAUGAGUCGUGAAAUCACGACAGCACCCAAAUCAAUUUCAAAACAAAA
RNAcentral lists this unclassified non-coding RNA (200 nucleotides) under uncultured Geastrum. Its description in RNAcentral is "sequence contains ITS2". The record is from RNAcentral. Lineage: Eukaryota; Fungi; Basidiomycota; Agaricomycetes; Geastrales; Geastraceae.